RNAcentral lists this long non-coding RNA (524 nucleotides) under Apteryx owenii (little spotted kiwi). RNAcentral's name for it is "lncRNA (ENSAOWG00000000706.1)". The record is from RNAcentral. Lineage: Eukaryota; Metazoa; Chordata; Aves; Apterygiformes; Apterygidae.
CUCCGAUACCCGGUCAGCCGGUCAGCCCUGCGGGGACUCUGGCGGGCUGGGAGGUGCCGCCCUCCCGUACGAAACUUCCUGUCGGCCAUGUUGUCGCCCGCGGCAUGCUGGGAUAUGUAGUACUCCGGUACCCGGACAGCCGGUCAGCGCUGCGAGGACUCUGGCGGGCUGGGAGGUGCCGCCCUCCCGUACGGGACUUCCGGUCGGCCAUGUUGGCCAGGCGGCGCGCGGGGGGGGUGCGGUCGGCUGGUGCCGGACCCCGUGCCGGCCAUGUUGGGCCCCUCGGCGUGCUGUGGCGCGUCGUCUGUGGGAGGCCUCCAAGCGGCCGUUCUGGGCCGCGGGUGUGCUGCGGGCCGCAGCCCCCCCGCCUUGCGUGGCAGCAGCCCCUGGGAGCGGUUGGAUGGCGGGGCUGGGCAGGUAUCACCUGGCUGAGGAUUCCAGCUUCUCUCAGAAGAUCCUGGCUCACCCAUGGGAUCUUCGAUACUUGCUGGAGCUCUGGUGCAUCUCAUGAGACUUUCUGGUGA